CCCUUAGAUGUUCUGGGCCGCACGCGCGCUACACUGACGAUGGCAACGAGUUUUUCCUUCGCCGAAAGGUGUGGGUAAUCUUUUGAAACAUCGUCGUGCUGGGGAUAGAUCAUUGCAAUUUUUGAUCUUGAACGAGGAAUUCCUAGUAAGCGCGAGUCAUCAGCUCGCGUUGAUUACGUCCCUGCCCUUUGUACACACCGCCCGUCGCUACUACCGAUUGAAUGGUUUAGUGAGGACUCCUGAUUGGCGCCGCCGCCCCAGCAACGGAGCAGCGGACUGCCGAAAAGGUGUUCAAACUUGAUCAUUUAGAGGAAGUAAAAGUCGUAACA
RNAcentral lists this ribosomal RNA (329 nucleotides) under uncultured eukaryote. RNAcentral's name for it is "partial 18S ribosomal RNA". It matches the Rfam family "Eukaryotic small subunit ribosomal RNA", at positions 1470 to 1796 of the family's 1831-position model. The record is from RNAcentral.